GCGUUCAUGGUGUAAUUGGAAGCACACUCGACGUGUAUUCGAGAGGUUCGAGGUUCGAGUCCCGCUGAGGGCA
RNAcentral lists this transfer RNA (73 nucleotides) under Stegodyphus mimosarum. It matches the Rfam family "tRNA". Rfam says of the family: Transfer RNA (tRNA) molecules are approximately 80 nucleotides in length. The record is from Rfam by way of RNAcentral. Lineage: Eukaryota; Metazoa; Arthropoda; Arachnida; Araneae; Eresidae.